AUGGACGAAAGUCUGAUGGAGCAAUACCAUGUGAACGAUGAAGGCCUUUUUGGUUGUAAAGUUCUUUUACGAGGGAUAAUUAUGAUAGUACUUCGUGAAUAAGUGACAGCAAACUAUGUGCCAGCAGCUGCGGUAAUACAUAGGUCGCGAGCAUUAUUCGGAUUUAUUGGGCGUAAAGCAAGCGCAGGCGGAUGUGUAAGUUCUGUGUUAAAUGCAGCUACUCAAUAGUUGUAUGCACCGAAUACUACAUGUCUAGAUUGUGGUAGGGAGUUUCGGAAUUAAGCAUGGAGCGGUGGAAUGUGUAGAUAUGCUUAAGAACACCAGAGGCGAAGGCGGAAACUUAGGCCAUAAAUGACGCUUAGGCUUGAAAGUGUGGGGAGCAAAUGGGAUUAGAUACCCCAGUAGUCCACACCGUAAACGAUGGGUAUUAGAUAUUAGGGCUUUAGCUUUAGUGUUGUAGCUUACGCGUUAAAUACCCCGCCU
RNAcentral lists this ribosomal RNA (483 nucleotides) under Mycoplasma haemofelis. RNAcentral describes it as "bacterial SSU rRNA". It matches the Rfam family "Bacterial small subunit ribosomal RNA", at positions 371 to 874 of the family's 1533-position model. Lineage: Bacteria; Bacillati; Mycoplasmatota; Mollicutes; Mycoplasmatales; Mycoplasmataceae. The record is from RNAcentral.